Molecule: non-coding RNA, 218 nt
Organism: Schizosaccharomyces pombe (fission yeast)
Lineage: Eukaryota; Fungi; Ascomycota; Schizosaccharomycetes; Schizosaccharomycetales; Schizosaccharomycetaceae
Source: the annotation of a GenBank genome assembly
UCAAGAUGACCGAGGCAAGAAUCAUGGCCAUGAGUUCCUUCAAGUUGGAUCCGAAGCUAGUUUGUAGCUGAUAAAACUGUAAUAAAUUCUCAUCAACUAUAGAAAUUUUACUAACUUCAGGUCUCUGUUUUAUUGGUAGAAAUGUUGCAACCUUUGCCAAGAACUCUGUGGCAGAAGUUAUGGAUAAAUCGGCGAUGCUUGCACUUGAGGAGGAAAGU